UGGGGAAUAUUGCACAAUGGGCGCAAGCCUGAUGCAGCCAUGCCGCGUGUGUGAAGAAGGCCUUCGGGUUGUAAAGCACUUUCAGCGAGGAGGAAGGGUAGUGUGUUAAUAGCACAUUGCAUUGACGUUACUCGCAGAAGAAGCACCGGCUAACUCCGUGCCAGCAGCCGCGGUAAUACGGAGGGUGCAAGCGUUAAUCGGAAUUACUGGGCGUAAAGCGCACGCAGGCGGUUUGUUAAGUCAGAUGUGAAAUCCCCGCGCUUAACGUGGGAACUGCAUUUGAAACUGGCAGGCUAGAGUCUUGUAGAGGGGGGUAGAAUUCCAGGUGUAGCGGUGAAAUGCGUAGAGAUCUGGAGGAAUACCGGUGGCGAAGGCGGCCCCCUGGACAAAGACUGACGCUCAGGUGCGAAAGCGUGGGGAGCAAACAGGAUUAGAUACCC
This 440-nucleotide ribosomal RNA is filed under the name uncultured bacterium. RNAcentral's name for it is "partial 16S ribosomal RNA". It matches the Rfam family "Bacterial small subunit ribosomal RNA", at positions 355 to 787 of the family's 1533-position model. The record is from RNAcentral.